This 497-nucleotide ribosomal RNA is filed under the name uncultured bacterium. Its description in RNAcentral is "partial 16S ribosomal RNA". It matches the Rfam family "Bacterial small subunit ribosomal RNA", at positions 28 to 507 of the family's 1533-position model. The record is from RNAcentral.
GAUGAACGCUGGCGGCGUGCCUAAUACAUGCAAGUCGAGCGAACGGACGAGUAUCUUGCUUCUCUGAUGUUAGCGGCGGACGUGUGAUUAACACGUGUAUACCCUACCUAUAAGACUUGUAUAACUUCGUGAAACCGGAUCUAAUACCGGAUAAUAUUUUGAACCUCAUGGUUCAUAAGUUUUAGACGGUCUUUCUGUCCCUUAUAGAUGUUUCCGGGCUGCAUUAGCGAGUUGGUACGGUAACGGCUUACCAAGGCAACGAUGCAUAGCCGACCUGAGAGGGGGAACGGACACACGGGAAGUGAGACACGGAACAGACAACGACGGGAGGCAGCAGUAGGGAAUGUUAGGCAAUGGGGGAAAGCCUGACGGAGCAACGGCGAGUGAGUGAUGAAGGUCUUCGGAUCGGAAAACACUGUUAGUAGGGAAGAACAGAUGUGGAAGGAAAUGAGCACAUAGUGACGGUACCUAAAGAAAAAGCAACGGCUAACUACGUG